This 253-nucleotide ribosomal RNA is filed under the name uncultured bacterium. RNAcentral describes it as "partial 16S ribosomal RNA". It matches the Rfam family "Bacterial small subunit ribosomal RNA", at positions 524 to 776 of the family's 1533-position model. The record is from RNAcentral.
UACGUAGGGUGCGAGCGUUAAUCGGAAUUACUGGGCGUAAAGCGUGCGCAGGCGGUUCUCCAAGUCCGUUGUGAAAGCCCCGGGCUCAACCUGGGAAUGGCAGUGGAAACUAGGGGACUGGAAUCUGGCAGAGGGGGGUGGAAUGCCGCGUGUAGCAGUGAAAUGCGUAGAGAUGCGGCGGAACACCGAUGGCGAAGGCAGCCCCCUGGGCUGAGAUUGACGCUCAUGCACGAAAGCGUGGGGAGCAAACAGG